This 253-nucleotide ribosomal RNA is filed under the name uncultured bacterium. RNAcentral's name for it is "partial 16S ribosomal RNA". It matches the Rfam family "Bacterial small subunit ribosomal RNA", at positions 524 to 776 of the family's 1533-position model. The record is from RNAcentral.
UACGAAGGGGGCUAGCGUUGUUCGGAAUCACUGGGCGUAAAGCGCACGUAGGCGGACUGUUAAGUCGGGGGUGAAAUCCUGGAGCUCAACUCCAGAACUGCCUUCGAUACUGGCGAUCUUGAGUCUGGGAGAGGUGAGUGGAACUCCGAGUGUAGAGGUGAAAUUCGUAGAUAUUCGGAAGAACACCAGUGGCGAAGGCGGCUCACUGGCCCGGUACUGACGCUGAGGUGCGAAAGCGUGGGGAGCAAACAGG